Long non-coding RNA from Podarcis raffonei (Aeolian wall lizard), 951 nucleotides. RefSeq lists it as uncharacterized. The transcript is spliced from 2 exons. The record is from RefSeq and is a predicted model, not a curated record. Lineage: Eukaryota; Metazoa; Chordata; Lepidosauria; Squamata; Lacertidae.
AGGGAGAGCAGAGUAGGAUUAUUCCAUCAUUCACCUUCAGGCAUCUUCUGCAUUGACCUCUGCCGCACUACCUCAUCUGACAGUACAGUCAGUUAUCCAAGUUUUUUUAGCACUCAAAAGGACUUGCUGCAGCAAACUACACUUUUGUCACAUGAUGGACUCAAGCUAAACAACUUAGAUCCCAAUAUCUGAUCCAUAUCCAUAUCUUGGAUGUUAUGACUGGCAGAGGGGACCUUUUUGGUAGUUCCAGUACCCUCAGAAGUUCAAGGUGGCCUGGAGAGGGCAUUCUCUGUGGCAGCCCCUACAUUGUGGAAUUUCCUCACCACAGAGAUGCGACUGGCACUUUCAGUAUGCCAAAGGCAUACUGGCCUUCUUCCUGGCCUUUGACGUGUGAUAUAUAUAGUUUUAGGGCCCGUGCUAUUCUCUUGACUGCAAUUUGUUUUAAAAUGAUUUUAAAUCACCCACCUGCGAUUCCCAACAAGUGGUAUUCAGAGGCAUACUGCCACUGACAGCAGAGGUAGAACAUAGCCAUUGUGGCUAGCCCUAGCUGGCAUGGGAGUUGUAGUCCAAAGCAGCUGGAGGGCACUUGGUUGGUGAAGACUGUACUACCACAUCUGAAGCUAGCUUAGGGGCUACAGGGCAGGCCCCAUUGCCCCUGGCAUCUAACAGUGACUGUCACAUCCUGCCCAAUGGUAGGGCUGGCCCAGUAUAGCCCUUGAGGAAGAAACCUGGUUCUUCUAAAGAGCCAGAGCCUUUUAGGAGCCACAGACAUGCCAUUAUUAUUAAAGAGAAAGUUUUCUCUAAUGUAUGUUUUCAUGAAAAGUAAGAUUAGCUGAAUUAUAUUUGUCACUGGUAAUGUUAACAACUAGAGUAAAUUAUAAUAAAAUUAUCUGAUUACAGACCAUAGCAGGACAUUCAGAAGGUCAAAGUAAUAAAAGAGGUCAAAGACUC